This 101-nucleotide non-coding RNA is filed under the name Candidatus Parcubacteria bacterium. RNAcentral describes it as "Parcubacteria bacterium SAM-I sequence". It matches the Rfam family "SAM riboswitch aptamer (S box leader)". From Rfam's summary of the family: The SAM riboswitch is found upstream of a number of genes which code for proteins involved in methionine or cysteine biosynthesis in Gram-positive bacteria. The SAM riboswitch acts at the level of transcription termination control. The predicted structure consists of a complex stem-loop region followed by a single stem loop terminator region. The record is from RNAcentral. Lineage: Bacteria; Candidatus Parcubacteria.
UAAUUAUCAAGAAGGCGCGUAGAGCAUCUGGCUCGAUGAUCCGCCUAGCAACUUGUCUAAAGACAAAGUGCUAACCAGAACCCUUCGGGGAAAGAUAAUGU